CCUUGACAUCCUGUGCUACUACAGAGAUGGUACGUUCCUUGGGACGAGGUUACAGGUGCUGCAUGGCUGUCGUCAGCUCGUGUCGUGAGAUGUGGUUAAGUCCGGCAACGAGCGCAACCCACAUCUUUAGUUGCCAGCAGGUUAAGCUGGGCACUCUAGAGAAACUGCCCGUGAUAAGCGGGAGGAAGGUGUGGAUGACGUCAAGUCCUCAUGGCCCUUACGGGUUGGGCUACACACGUGCUACAAUGGCAGUGACAAUGGGUUAAUCCCAAAAAGCUGUCUCAGUUCGGAUUGGGGUCUGCAACUCGACCCCAUGAAGUCGGAAUCGCUAGUAAUCGCGUAACAGCAUGACGCGGUGAAUACGUUCCCGGGCCUU
This 376-nucleotide ribosomal RNA is filed under the name uncultured marine bacterium pC2-130. RNAcentral's name for it is "bacterial SSU rRNA". It matches the Rfam family "Bacterial small subunit ribosomal RNA", at positions 979 to 1382 of the family's 1533-position model. Lineage: Bacteria; Pseudomonadati; Pseudomonadota; Alphaproteobacteria. The record is from RNAcentral.